UAUGUUGCCAGGUUCUUCCAAGGCUAUCCCAACACUAUUUCUUUUCACGUUUGAGGCGCUAUCUACAGAUAAUGCAAACUCUAGAAAACAUAGAAAUGGAAAAUCAUAAAAUCAUACAAAAUAUAUUAAAAAUGAAAUGUACAAAAUACAUUUAAACUUACAUGUGUACGACGUAUCAACAAAAAUAUUAGUCGAAAAAAAUAUCAAACAAUAAAGAAGUUGUUAAUAAAAAACUAUAAAAAACUAAAAAAAAAAGAAUAAGUGUAAACGAAUAGGCAAAAUGAUAGUAGGAAAAAAUAUUAAUAAUGUUAAAAAAAAUAUAAAUGGAAUGAAUAGAAAAUGGAAAAAAAAGGAGGGAAGAUGUAAUUAU
Molecule: long non-coding RNA, 370 nt
Filed under: Lathyrus oleraceus (garden pea)
Lineage: Eukaryota; Viridiplantae; Streptophyta; Magnoliopsida; Fabales; Fabaceae
Description: Pisum sativum (pea) long non-coding RNA (PSAT_LNC003656)
Source: RNAcentral